Molecule: transfer RNA, 107 nt
Filed under: Sporisorium reilianum SRZ2
Lineage: Eukaryota; Fungi; Basidiomycota; Ustilaginomycetes; Ustilaginales; Ustilaginaceae
Description: tRNA-Pro for anticodon AGG
Source: RNAcentral
GGGCCAAUCGUAUAGUGGCUUAUUAUGCUGUCUUAGGGCAAUCACCUCCAUUCAGAGGAUGCACUCUAAGUUGACAGAGGUCCCCGGUUCGAUUCCGGGUUGGCCCC